This is a small nuclear RNA of Suncus etruscus (white-toothed pygmy shrew), 163 nucleotides long. RefSeq annotates it as U1 spliceosomal RNA. The record is from RefSeq and is a predicted model, not a curated record. Lineage: Eukaryota; Metazoa; Chordata; Mammalia; Eulipotyphla; Soricidae. The transcript has a single exon.
AUACUUACCUGGCAGGGGAGAUACCAUGAUCAUGAAGGUGGUUUCCCCAAGGUGAGCCUCAUCCAUUGCACUCAAGAUAUGCUGACCCCUGUGAUUUUUCCAAAUAUGGGAAACUCAACCACAUAAUUUGUGGUAGUGGGGGCUGCAUUCAUUCUCUCCCCUG